UCCCCUCACUCAGCCGGGGUCAGGUCGCGGGGGCAGCAGCUUCAGGGAGGACGCCCAGACUUCCCUCUCUCCAGCCACUUUGUCCAGGUCAUCCCGGGCGAUACCAAAGUGUUCCCAGGUCA
Long non-coding RNA from Syngnathus acus (greater pipefish), 122 nucleotides. RefSeq lists it as uncharacterized. The record is from RefSeq and is a predicted model, not a curated record. NCBI's taxonomy places the organism in Eukaryota, Metazoa, Chordata, Actinopteri, Syngnathiformes, Syngnathidae. The transcript has 3 exons.